CUACGGAGGGUGCAAGCGUUACUCGGAAUCACUGGGCGUAAAGCGCGCGCAGGCGGCUAUUUAAGUUGGAUGUGAAAGCCUACGGCUCAACCGUAGAACUGCAUCCAAAACUAUUUAGCUAGAGUGUGGGAGAGGAAGAUGGAAUUAGUUGUGUAGGGGUAAAAUACGUAGAGAUAACUAGGAAUACCAAAAGCGAAGGCAAUCUUCUGGAACACUACUGACGCUGAGGUACGAAAGCGUGGGUAGCAAACAGGAUUAGAUACCCUAGUAGUCC
Molecule: ribosomal RNA, 274 nt
Filed under: uncultured bacterium
Lineage: Bacteria
Description: partial 16S ribosomal RNA
Rfam family: Bacterial small subunit ribosomal RNA
Source: RNAcentral